AAAAAAAAAGGAAAAAGCGAAUGGAAAAAACUUGAACAAA
RNAcentral lists this small RNA (40 nucleotides) under Arabidopsis thaliana (thale cress). RNAcentral's name for it is "ATSL073490". The record is from RNAcentral. Lineage: Eukaryota; Viridiplantae; Streptophyta; Magnoliopsida; Brassicales; Brassicaceae.